Non-coding RNA from Chiloscyllium plagiosum (whitespotted bambooshark), 429 nucleotides. NCBI's taxonomy places the organism in Eukaryota, Metazoa, Chordata, Chondrichthyes, Orectolobiformes, Hemiscylliidae. The record is from the annotation of a RefSeq genome assembly.
AUGGUACGGAGAGUGAUUAGUGUCUCAGCUUCUGGAGAUCACUUGGGAAUAAUGGGAUUAAAACUCUGCCUGACUCUGGGUAUUCUCUUAUUCACAGAGUUGAGCAAUGCAGACUCAGUGUCCCAGUCACAACAACGACUCGAAGCAUUAACGGGUGAAGACUCAGCAAUAACGUGUAAUUACUCGGUACCUGCUGCAACUACAAGCUACGGCAUGUUCUGGUACUACCAGUAUUCACAGGAAGCUCCUCGAUAUCUGCUCAGAGCCGAUAGUUUUGGAUAUAAUGAGACGGCUCCCGGCUUUGAACGCUUCCGUGGGAAUCUCAACCGGGACAAAGGCACUUUCCACUUAUCAGUGAAAAACCUGAAGCUGACAGACAGUGCCGUGUAUUACUGUGCAUUUCGACCCACAGUGAAUGGGAGUGCCUAG